This 74-nucleotide transfer RNA is filed under the name Dermacentor andersoni. RNAcentral's name for it is "transfer RNA isoleucine (anticodon AAU)". It matches the Rfam family "tRNA". Rfam says of the family: Transfer RNA (tRNA) molecules are approximately 80 nucleotides in length. Their secondary structure includes four short double-helical elements and three loops (D, anti-codon, and T loops). Further hydrogen bonds mediate the characteristic L-shaped molecular structure. tRNAs have two regions of fundamental functional importance: the anti-codon, which is responsible for specific mRNA codon recognition, and the 3' end, to which the tRNAs corresponding amino acid is attached (by aminoacyl-tRNA synthetases). tRNAs cope with the degeneracy of the genetic code in two manners: having more than one tRNA (with a specific anti-codon) for a particular amino acid; and 'wobble' base-pairing, i.e. permitting non-standard base-pairing at the 3rd anti-codon position. The record is from RNAcentral. Lineage: Eukaryota; Metazoa; Arthropoda; Arachnida; Ixodida; Ixodidae.
GGCCUGCUAGCUCAGUCGGUUAGAGCGUCAUGCUAAUAACGCGAAGGUCGUAGGUUGGAUCCCUGCGCAGGCCA